AUAUAAGCUGACACACAAAGUUUUAACAGUUUUUAGAAACACAUACGUUGUUAUUAAGUUUUUUAAUUAAGGCCGUUUGUCAGAACCGUACUGAGAAUGUUGAAAAUAAUCAAUCAUAGUCAUGAUCAGAUUAGAGAAAAACAGGACAUGACAACAACUUAAGCACAUUUUCUUUCAUACGGUUGAACUCGCGCUUCAAGCCCCGCCAACUAGAUCCAGCGAGGCGGAGCUUGGCUGUGCAGCGAGCGAGCUCCCUCUCGUGCAUUUCUUGUCUUGGAAUGCUUCCUCAAACAAUAUUAUGAAGCUGCAGACUCGGAGCCUGCAGCUACAGACCCCCGCCCAGAGAGCCGCAUUCUCAGACCCCUCGUUUUUCGAGACGGCGAUCAAAUUGGAUCGGAUAAACAUUUGAAGAAACAUGGAUAUAACAAUUCAAACGGGGGACUCACUUCCAGAAAUUCCAAAAUGUCACAAAUGCUGCAGUGAUUUUGACUACCAUCAAAGUGGUUCCCCCUAAAGCCAUGUGUGCCUGUCUACAUGGACAGCCAUUAUUCAUGGCCUAUGUGAAAUGCAGGCAUUAUCCUGGCAGGAAGCUGAGCAGGUGUUCCUCAGUGGCCCUUCUUAUCACUCGAGUGAAGUCAAGGAAUUUGACAGAGCAGUUUCCAAAAGACAGAAAAAGAAGGAAAAAAAUCACCUGCAGGAACAAGAUGAUGUUUAGGUGAUUGUUUAAUAAAGUACAGAAUUGUUUAUUAUUAGUGUUUUGUCUAUUCUUAUUUAAGUUUAGCUUCGGAUUCAAAAUAUCAAAAAACAGGUUUUGUAAUGUUAGCAUGAUGUUAAUGACCAUUACAGGUUGAACUGAACGAAAAAAAUAGAAUUUUAAUUAAAAAAAACAACAACAUUGUAGCAAUAUAAUAUUACAUAUUUUUCUAAAGAUAGUUCAAUCUGUAAUUGUAUCCCUUCCAUCAGUAAUUUUCUUUUAAUUACACCCACGCUCAAAAAAAUAACUACUGGGUAAAUUGUUAGUCAGAGAACACAAUUCGUUUUUUGGCACAUGCAUUAAGCCGGGAACGCAAAUAUUUAUUUGGAUAACUUUAAAUAAAACGAGACUAAUAUUGAAUAUAGAAUAUAGAAUAUUGCAUCCUAUUGUUUUCAAUGCCAUUUGGAUAAGGGUGUUAUACGGUCUUCCAAACAGCAGGGGGCGCUGUCUCAAAAAACGAGGGGUCUGAGAAUGCGGGUCUCUUGGCGGGGGUCUGUAGGUGCAGGCUCCGAGUCUGCAGCUUCUUCAUACUACUCUCCUCAAAAGGCGAGAAGGCGCCAAUUUGGAUCUUUCUGACGCAGCCAGUGUGUUUCGAGCCUGGUGUCUUCAGCCACGUGUAAAUGCUUCGGUGUGCACUCCGUCUUCGAUUAUUUUAUUGGUUUGUCAACAGAAGACAGGAUUUCUUAAUACGCUAACCGUUAGCAGUGAGAUGAAGUUGAAAAUCUGACACGGACUCACUGUUGUCUCUGGAGCAGGGAUCCAUUGUCCGGACAGCCUCAUAAACAUCACCUGACUCAUACAGUUGUGUACU
Long non-coding RNA from Paramisgurnus dabryanus, 1565 nucleotides. RefSeq lists it as uncharacterized. The record is from RefSeq and is a predicted model, not a curated record. Lineage: Eukaryota; Metazoa; Chordata; Actinopteri; Cypriniformes; Cobitidae.